AGGAGAAACAUUGAAUGGCAGCCAGCGCAGUUAGCCAGAGGUUUAUCAAUCGAAGGUGAGGCUCAACUUCCUACUGCCUCACCGGCUUCACUUCCGAGCAUUUAAAUGGGAAAAUGCAAAAAUUCAGCAAUUUUUAAGAAAAAAUAAUCAGAAUUUGUUAAGCUACAUGAAAAAUAGGUACUUUACAGUA
This is a long non-coding RNA of Xiphophorus hellerii (green swordtail), 190 nucleotides long. RefSeq lists it as uncharacterized. The record is from RefSeq and is a predicted model, not a curated record. NCBI's taxonomy places the organism in Eukaryota, Metazoa, Chordata, Actinopteri, Cyprinodontiformes, Poeciliidae. The transcript has 3 exons.